GACGAACGCUGGCGGCGUGCCUAAUACAUGCAAGUAGAACGCUGAAGAGAGGAGCUUGCUCUUCUUGGAUGAGUUGCGAACGGGUGAGUAACGCGUAGGUAACCUGCCUUGUAGCGGGGGAUAACUAUUGGAAACGAUUGCUAAUACCGCAUAACAAUGGAUGACACAUGUCAUUUAUUUGAAAGGGGCAAUUGCUCCACUACAAGAUGGACCUGCGUUGUAUUAGCUAGUAGGUGAGGUAAUGGCUCACCUAGGCGACGAUACAUAGCCGACCUGAGAGGGUGAUCGGCCACACUGGGACUGAGACACGGCCCAGACUCCUACGGGAGGCAGCAGUAGGGAAUCUUCGGCAAUGGGGGCAACCCUGACCGAGCAACGCCGCGUGAGUGAAGAAGGUUUUCGGAUCGUAAAGCUCUGUUGUAAGUCAAGAACGGGUGUGAGAGUGGAAAGUUCACACUGUGACGGUAGCUUACCAGAAAGGGACGGCUAACUACGU
RNAcentral lists this ribosomal RNA (496 nucleotides) under uncultured bacterium. RNAcentral describes it as "partial 16S ribosomal RNA". It matches the Rfam family "Bacterial small subunit ribosomal RNA", at positions 28 to 506 of the family's 1533-position model. The record is from RNAcentral.